Ochotona curzoniae (black-lipped pika) is the source of this 103-nucleotide small nuclear RNA. The record is from RefSeq and is a predicted model, not a curated record. NCBI's taxonomy places the organism in Eukaryota, Metazoa, Chordata, Mammalia, Lagomorpha, Ochotonidae.
UUGCUUUGGCAGCACAUAUACUAAAAUUGGACGAUACGGAGAAGAUUAGCAUGGCCCCUGCGCAAGGAUGACACAAAAAUGUCAACCAAUGAAGCAUACUAAU